UUGGAGGGCAAGUCUGGUGCCAGCAGCCGCGGUAAUUCCAGCUCCAAUAGCGUAUAUUAAAGUUGUUGCAGUUAAAAAGCUCGUAGUUGAAUUUCGGGAUCAAGGAAUCGGUCAUGCCUUGGUAUGUACUGGUUUUAUUGGUUCUCACCUUCUAAAGAACCAUAAUGUCAUUUAUUUGAUGUUAUGGGGAACUAGGACUGUUACCUUGAAAAAAUUAGAGUGUUUAAAGCAAGCUUACGCUUGAAUACAUUAGCAUGGAAUAAUGAAAUAGGACAUCAGAUUCUAUUUUGUUGGUUUCUAGGAUCGAUGUAAUGAUUAAUAGGGAUAGUUGGGGGCAUUAGUAUUCAAUUGUCAGAGGUGAAAUUCUUGGAUUUAUUGAAGACUAACUACUGCGAAAGCAUUUGCCAAGGAUGUUUUCAUUAAUCAAGAACGAAAGUUAGGGGAUCGAAGACGAUCAGAUACCGUCGUAGUCUUAACCAUAAACUAUGCCGACUAGGGAUCGGAUGAUGUUAAUUUUUUAAUGACUCAUUCGGCGCCUUACGGGAAAC
RNAcentral lists this ribosomal RNA (548 nucleotides) under uncultured Glomeromycotina. RNAcentral describes it as "SSU rRNA". It matches the Rfam family "Eukaryotic small subunit ribosomal RNA", at positions 548 to 1098 of the family's 1831-position model. The record is from RNAcentral. Lineage: Eukaryota; Fungi; Glomeromycota.